Molecule: unclassified non-coding RNA, 1139 nt
Filed under: Hevea brasiliensis (rubber tree)
Lineage: Eukaryota; Viridiplantae; Streptophyta; Magnoliopsida; Malpighiales; Euphorbiaceae
Source: RNAcentral
CUGAGCUGAUACCCCAAAUGCCUUAUCCAAACGCAGGUCCUUUCUUGUCAGUGAAGAGAGAGACCAGAGUAUCAGACCAUGGUCUAACAUUGUAACUCACUCUCUAUCCUCAGAAAUUCUCUCUAAAACACGAAGAAGAUGUUAUCCAUGGCAAUUCAAUCUGGCGUUUUCACACAGUCCCCAUUUCCUUGUCAGACCCUCUCUUGCAAGACAAUUAAAGCCAGCAUUUUCAUCAAUCCCAAACCCAAUCUGUUACACUCUUCAACCAUUCUUGACCCAAAAAUGGGGCCCAUUUCCAGAAACCAAAGACUGAUUGGUUUUGCAGCCCCAGAAGCUCUCGCAGCUGAAAUGCCCACUGAAGCAGAAGAAUCCAUGGAAGUAGAAGAACCAAUCCCCAACCAAGAAAUUGAGAAAGUUGGAGUAACGGUGAAGCAAGUGGAGAAGCCAAGGUUGGUGUUGAAGUUCAUAUGGAUGGAGAAGAAUAUUGGGCUGGCUCUUGAUCAGGUAAUUCCUGGACAUGGUACUGUUCCCUUGAGUCCAUACUAUUUUUGGCCAAGAAAAGAUGCAUGGGAAGAGCUCAAGACCACUCUAGAGAGCAAGCCUUGGAUAUCCCAGAAGAAGAUGAUCAUACUUCUCAAUCAGGCCACUGAUAUCAUCAAUUUGUGGCAGCAAAGUGGUGGCAAUCUUACCACAUAAUGGAACAUGUGUUUUGGUUUUUUGCAGUUAAUUUGUGUGUUUAGGUGUUGAGGAAUCAACUAUCACAGUUCAAUUAUGUUUAAGGCUAUGGGUAUUUGCAUUUGCUGGUUUCUGUAACUGUGCCAUAUAUUUCAAUGAUACACGAAUUCUCGAUUGGCAUCAUCUCUGUUUUAAGAUUUGGAACUUGGUGUUUCUCCCCAAGUGGGAGCUCAACAAUGUGUGAAAUUAUUGGGGUCCAACUCUACAAGUCAUGUUUUCCCAUUAAGGUAUUUGCAGUUAGAACUCUGUUUCAUUGGGUACAGGGGAAGCCUCAGCUUGAACUGGGUUCAUGGCCUGAUCUUAAUUAAUAUGGAUGCUAAGAUUAGCAUGUUAUACUGUGAAUGGAUGCUAAAGUCCACUUAUAUCAGCUAUGUCUUGCUCUGAUUAUCAUUCUUGGAUUUACA